UACAGAGGGUGCAAGCGUUGUUCGGAAUUAUUGGGCGUAAAGCGCGUGUAGGCGGCCUUGCAAGUCGGGUGUGAAAGCCCUCAGCUCAACUGAGGAAGCGCGCCCGAAACUGCAGAGCUUGAGUACCGGAGAGGAUGGCGGAAUUCCCCAAGUAGAGGUGAAAUUCGUAGAUAUGGGGAGGAACACCGGUGGCGAAGGCGGCGACCUGGGCUGACACUGACGCUGAGGUUCGAAAGCGUGGGGAGCAAACAGG
This 253-nucleotide ribosomal RNA is filed under the name uncultured bacterium. RNAcentral's name for it is "partial 16S ribosomal RNA". It matches the Rfam family "Bacterial small subunit ribosomal RNA", at positions 524 to 776 of the family's 1533-position model. The record is from RNAcentral.